Long non-coding RNA from Patiria miniata (bat star), 378 nucleotides. RefSeq lists it as uncharacterized. Lineage: Eukaryota; Metazoa; Echinodermata; Asteroidea; Valvatida; Asterinidae. The record is from RefSeq and is a predicted model, not a curated record. The transcript has 2 exons.
UAUCACGUGUAGUAUGGCUAUUUAAGCGUGGGAAUUUCCAAUACGCUUCAGUCUUCGUCACGUCGCCGAAAGCUGUGAAGACUCACCAGAAUGCCGCUGUGAACCCAGAAAACCCCUGUAUACUCCAGUAAACUACAGUACAUACAUUCCUGAUACCCAUCCAUUGUGUGUAGCGACGGGUGUUGGCCCCGCAUACGAUUUGUGAGUUAUAUUCAAAUCUAAUUGCUAAGUUAUAGGCUAACUGUAAACUUUAUGAAGAUGCUGUAUCUAUCUCAACCUGUGAAACUCUAAACACUGUGCUCUAAUUAACUUUCAUUUAUUGUGAACAUAUUGUUUAAUUGUCACUGUGUUUAAAUAUUGUACUUUGGUGUGUAAUUG